Molecule: ribosomal RNA, 132 nt
Filed under: uncultured Alphaproteobacteria bacterium
Lineage: Bacteria; Pseudomonadati; Pseudomonadota; Alphaproteobacteria
Description: partial 16S ribosomal RNA
Source: RNAcentral
UUAGGGUACAGUCAUUAUCUUCCCCUACAAAAGAGCUUUACAACCCAAAGGCCUUCUUCACUCACGCGGCAUCGCUGCAUCAGAGUUUCCUCCAUUGUGCAAGAUUCCCCACUGCUGCCUCCCGUAGGAGUA